Molecule: ribosomal RNA, 253 nt
Filed under: uncultured bacterium
Lineage: Bacteria
Description: partial 16S ribosomal RNA
Rfam family: Bacterial small subunit ribosomal RNA
Source: RNAcentral
UACAGAGGGUGCAAGCGUUAAUCGGAAUUACUGGGCGUAAAGCGCACGUAGGCGGCUAUUCAAGUCGGGGGUGAAAGCCCGGGGCUCAACCCCGGAACUGCCCUCGAAACUAGAUAGCUAGAAUCUUGGAGAGGUCAGUGGAAUUCCGAGUGUAGAGGUGAAAUUCGUAGAUAUUCGGAAGAACACCAGUGGCGAAGGCGACUGACUGGACAAGUAUUGACGCUGAGGUGCGAAAGCGUGGGGAGCAAACAGG